This 253-nucleotide ribosomal RNA is filed under the name uncultured bacterium. RNAcentral's name for it is "partial 16S ribosomal RNA". It matches the Rfam family "Bacterial small subunit ribosomal RNA", at positions 524 to 776 of the family's 1533-position model. The record is from RNAcentral.
GACGAACCGUGCGAACGUUGUUCGGAUUCACUGGGCUUAAAGGGCGCGUAGGCGGGUGUCCAAGUCUGGGGUGAAAUCCUUCGGCCCAACCGGAGAACAGCCUCGGAUACUGGAUGGCUCGAGGCUGGUAGGGGGAAGCGGAAUUCCCGGUGUAGUGGUGGAAUGCGUAGAUAUCGGGAGGAACACCAGUGGCGAAGGCGGCUUCCUGGACCUGAUCUGACGCUGAGGAGCGAAAGCGUGGGGAGCGAUCCGG